Molecule: transfer RNA, 72 nt
Filed under: Camelus bactrianus (Bactrian camel)
Lineage: Eukaryota; Metazoa; Chordata; Mammalia; Artiodactyla; Camelidae
Also listed under: 3 other names
Rfam family: tRNA
About the family: Transfer RNA (tRNA) molecules are approximately 80 nucleotides in length. Their secondary structure includes four short double-helical elements and three loops (D, anti-codon, and T loops).
Source: Rfam by way of RNAcentral
GAGGGUAUAGCUCAGUGGUAGAGCACAUGCUUAGCAUGCAUGAGGCCCUGGGUUCAAUCCCCAGUACCUCCA